CACCAAGCUGCUAUCACUCAAGUGUGACUGCUCUAGUGUGGUCUUGAACAAAACUCUUAUUCAGAGUUAAAUAUUUGGCAUUUUUCAAACUCAUUAACACAAAAAACCCAAACAUUUGGUGCACUGACUAUACUGGGAAAUAUUUCUCUGUCCAGUCUUAAUUUGGUUUUCUUGGCUAAUGUAGGACUGCUACUGGGACUUAUUGUUUGGUUUUUUUUUUUUAUUUUAAAAAUGAUAGGAGCCAGAGCUUCUGCACUUUGGGCACGUUACUUUUAAUAAUCCUAAAUUGUUGCUGUUCCUCCCAUUUUGUGAGAGGACAUUAUUCUCUGUCCUUUACUUGCAGAAAGAAAUGUUAUGGGGUGGGAAGAAAGGAAUGCCACAUAAACAGACCAUGGAACGUUGCUUUGUCCUCUUUUUCCUUCUGCUUUUCCUGCUGGUGGCUUUCUGGUUUUUUCUCAUUUUCUGACAUUAAAUGAAUUUAUUUCAGUUGAGGGAAUACAGCUGGUUUCUGUUGGCAAUUAGCCCCACCAGGAAAGGCUAUUUAUCCCACUUAAUUUGGGAGGGCUAGUUUGGGAAGGUUGGGGGCCUGUUAGGAGAGCACAAGUUUUUCAGUGCACGAAGGAAAAAUAUUGGUAACAUAUUAAAAAUGGUAAUUCUCGAACUCAUAAUGCUCUUUUUUUUUUUUGCUUUAAAAUAAAGGGUCUAAUAAUUUUUCUAAAAAUAAUAGCUAAGGUAAAUAUACUUUUCAAGCAGUGUGGCAAUGGACUUUAUCUUCUUGAUAAAUUACUAUGUUUUGAAAAAUAAGCCAGGCUACACCUUUACUGCCUGGUAAUUUUUUGUAGGCAAAACUAUAAUGUGCAUGUUCCAGGAGAAGAAAUAAAUGUAUCUAUGAAAGAGGGAUGUUGUAUUAACUUUCUCUGGAGCACGUUAUGUAUUCAAGCCAUAAUUUAUUUUGGUGGAGCCUGAAGAAUAAUCUUCAUGGCAAAAGUGAUUUAAUCUCUAGGUAGAAAUAGAAUUUAAAUAUAGAAGCAUUUGUUAUUUAUUAAUACUGUGUGAUUUAAUAUAUUUGUGUAUUGAGCAACUUGGUGCUCUUCUAUAUUAAAUAUUUAUUUUGCUUUAAAGGUGUUAUUAGAGAGUUGAUUAAGUUCUCAGUUCACUGUAUGUGUUUAAUGUUGAGAUGGUAGGUAACCAUCAAAGUAACACAUUUAGCAGCAAAACUGACCUACAAAAUCUAUUUUAUUAAAUAAUUUAUUAGCCCUCUGAAUCUUUUUAAACUUAGGAGUUAUCCUGUUUGUUUAAUGAUUUUUUUUUCCUCCUUAAUCUGUAUUGGGAACUUAUCAGCAAAGUGGCUCCGUGCAAUGACGUGCAUUUUCACAUCAGUGAAUUCUUUGAAUGCAACUGCUCAUUAAUAACUGCAGAUGUUGGAAAAUCCCUCUGACUCCAGUGCUUUGCUGGCAGAGGUUCUGAUGGAUAUUCUUAUUUUUGUUGGUAUCUUCUCUCUUUUCUUUUGUCUUCUUUGUAGAGGGAAACAUUUGAAGGACGUUUACAAACGAAACAAAAAAAAAAAAAGCAGAGUGUGGUAAGGGCUGUUGUUGAGGGAAAAGCCCUCAGCCUGUCUGUCUGUUGAGGGAAAAGCCCUCAGCCUGUCUGUCUGUCUGCUGGAAUCUGAGCUUUUUGAAGCUGCAGCUGGGCCUCUGGACCCCUCACGUGUCCAGCGUCUGGAGGGACAUCUGGGUGUCAUCAGAGGGGAAGGGGAAGUAGACGAGCUUUGUGAUGGGACUAUAUUUCCAGGAAGCCUGGAUGAAAAACAUGGAAUCUGUUUCAUGUGCUGCCAGUGCCAGAGUGUUGUUUGCAUGUUUUCCUCAAAGUUCAGGAGUCCCAUUGUGGAUGAGAUGUGAGAGCCAAUGUCAGACCUCAGGGAAUGUGGAGAUGAUCCAUCAAACCCAGAGGUGUUAAAUCCUUGUGUGGCCACCCAGAACUUGUGGA
Long non-coding RNA from Neopelma chrysocephalum (saffron-crested tyrant-manakin), 1986 nucleotides. RefSeq lists it as uncharacterized. The record is from RefSeq and is a predicted model, not a curated record. Lineage: Eukaryota; Metazoa; Chordata; Aves; Passeriformes; Pipridae. The transcript has 3 exons.